RNAcentral lists this ribosomal RNA (450 nucleotides) under uncultured bacterium. RNAcentral describes it as "partial 16S ribosomal RNA". It matches the Rfam family "Bacterial small subunit ribosomal RNA", at positions 354 to 796 of the family's 1533-position model. The record is from RNAcentral.
GUGGGGAAUAUUGGACAAUGGGCGAAAGCCUGAUCCAGCCAUGCCGCGUGUGUGAAGAAGGUCUUCGGAUUGUAAAGCACUUUAAGUUGGGAGGAAGGGCAGUAAGUUAAUACCUUGCUGUUUUGACGUUACCGACAGAAUAAGCACCGGCUAACUUCGUGCCAGCAGCCGCGGUAAUACGAAGGGUGCAAGCGUUAAUCGGAAUUACUGGGCGUAAAGCGCGCGUAGGUGGUUUUGUAAGUUGGAGGUGAAAUCCCCGGGCUCAACCUGGGAACUGCCUCCAAAAAUGCAUGACUAGAGUACGGUAGAGGGUAGGGGAAUUUCCUGUGUAGCGGUGAAAUGCGUAGAUAUAGGAAGGAACACCAGUGGCGAAGGCGACUACCUGGACUGAUACUGACACUGAGGUGCGAAAGCGUGGGGAGCAAACAGGAUUAGAUACCCGUGUAGUCC